CACAGAUGUUGGGCUCUGUAAUGCACUUUUUUCCCCCUCUGCCACUGCUUCUGAGUGUUUCUCUGGCUGCCUGGAUGUCUUCGUUACUGCCUGUUGGGGGAGUGUGCUCCGAGGUGCUAGUGGGGUGUGAAACCUCGGGGGAUUGACUGGUGCUGCUGAGCAGGCAGGAUGGCUAGGUACUUAAGAUCAACUUUGCCUUUUCCACACUCGACACCAGGUUUUAACUGUUCUGCCUGCCUGAGAAUCAUUUCAAGCUGUCUAGGAGGAAAAUAAUGUUGGGGUGUCUUUUUCAUUCAGCCACGUCUGUUUUGACUGGAAUAUAACCGUUUCUUAACUGGGUCUUGCCUUUGUGUUCAUUUGGUCAGUCCAAGAAUUCUUUUCUUCCUCUCCUUGUCUAUUCACCUGGUUCGCUCUGUCUGAGCUACAGCGGUUUCUAGGUAUUCUCUUCUACCUUGACCUUAUCCUCAAUGGGCCAAACUGUAGAAGUUGCCUACAAAGCCAUCUC
Molecule: long non-coding RNA, 505 nt
Filed under: Homo sapiens (human)
Lineage: Eukaryota; Metazoa; Chordata; Mammalia; Primates; Hominidae
Description: HSALNT0021723
Source: RNAcentral